RNAcentral lists this ribosomal RNA (236 nucleotides) under uncultured bacterium. RNAcentral's name for it is "partial 16S ribosomal RNA". It matches the Rfam family "Bacterial small subunit ribosomal RNA", at positions 86 to 339 of the family's 1533-position model. The record is from RNAcentral.
UCGGGUUUAGUGGCGCACGGGUGCGUAACAUGUGGGAAUGUACCCUAGGGUAAGGAAUAAUAUCUGGAAACGGAUACUAAUGCCUUAUAAUGACUCCGGUCCAAAGAUUUAUCGCCCUAGGAUCAGCCCGCACCUGAUUAGUUUGUUGGUGAGGUAAUGGCUCACCAAGACUACGAUCAGUAGGGGGUCUGAGAGGAUGAUCCCCCACACUGGGACUGAGACACGGCCCAGACUCC